This 254-nucleotide ribosomal RNA is filed under the name uncultured bacterium. RNAcentral's name for it is "partial 16S ribosomal RNA". It matches the Rfam family "Bacterial small subunit ribosomal RNA", at positions 524 to 776 of the family's 1533-position model. The record is from RNAcentral.
UACGUAGGGGGCAAGCGUUGUCCGGAUUUAUUGGGCGUAAAGAGCGUGUAGGCGGCCAUUCAGGUCAGCUGUGAAAACUCGAGGCUCAACCUCGAGACGUCGGUUGAAACCGUUUGGCUAGAGUCCGGAAGGAGGAGAGUGGAAUUCCCGGUGUAGCGGUGAAAUGCGCAGAUAUCGGGAAGAACACCCGUGGCGAAGGCGGCUCUCUGGGACGGUACUGACGCUGAGACGCGAAAGCGUGGGGAGCGAACAGG